GACGAACGCUGGCGGCGUGCUUAACACAUGCAAGUCGAACGGAAAGGCCCUGCUUUUGUGGGGUGCUCGAGUGGCGAACGGGUGAGUAACACGCGAGUAACCUGCCCUUGACUUUGGGAUAACUCCAGGAAACUGGGGCUAAUACCGGAUAGGAGCUCCUGCUGCAUGGUGGGGGUUGGAAAGUUUCGGCGGUUGGGGAUGGACUCGCGGCUUAUCAGCUUGUUGGUGGGGUAGUGGCUUACCAAGGCUUUGACGGGUAGCCGGCCUGAGAGGGUGACCGGCCACAUUGGGACUAAGAUACGGCCCAGACUCCUACGGGCGGCAACAGUGGAGAGUAUUACGCAAUGGGCGGAAGCCUGAUACAGCAACGCCGCGUGCGGGAUGACGGCCUUCGGGUUGUGAACCGCUUUCGCCUGUGACGAAGCGUGAGUGACGGUAAUGGGUAAAGAAGCACCGGCUAACUACGUG
RNAcentral lists this ribosomal RNA (468 nucleotides) under uncultured bacterium. RNAcentral's name for it is "partial 16S ribosomal RNA". It matches the Rfam family "Bacterial small subunit ribosomal RNA", at positions 28 to 507 of the family's 1533-position model. The record is from RNAcentral.